UGAGCAUCCGUGGACACUAAAAAGCCCGCGACCGGAAGUGGGGUGUGCCCGAGACUCCUGGGAAAUGUAGUUCAGCCUCCCAACGGCCCCGGCCCAGCCAAAUGGCUCGGCCUCCUCGGGCACCAGAACCAAGGGGCGGGGGCGCGUGACCGUCCCGUUUGGAAGCCAUGGGGAGUGGAGGCUCAUCUGCCCACGAUCACCGCAGGCAGGCCCCAGACGGUUGCGGAACCGACGAGCCCAGCCUGUCUCCGUGGUAACCGGCUGGCCGCAGAGGACUGUGGGAAGUGUAGUUGGGCAGGACCGGCCGGUGCUCGAGGUCAGAGGGGUUGCCGUUAUACCACCGGCCCCUUCGGGCAGAACGAUUUUGCGGCGUCCGGGCGACGUCGUCCAGCCGUCACUUUGGCCUCUGAUCACCCAGGCAGAACAUUUCUGAAAUUAAAGAAGCUCAUGAAGAGUUUAUCAGAAACAUAACUCUCCCACGGCACAAGUUAAGGCUCCUUGGGGACUUCUCCAGUCAAGAAUGACCCCAGUAAUGGUGGGGGCUGUGUCCUUGGCCCCCCCCCCCCCCCCCCCGCCUGAUCCAGUCCCAUAGACCGGAGUCUGGGGAACCUCCCAGAGGGGAGGUUGAGCAGCUGGCCUGCCCCAGAGAAGAGUUUCGAGCAGGAGAGUGAAGAGAGGAGCCAGGAAGGUGACCAGAGUGACCAGAACUGCCAGCCAGACAGAUGUAAAGCUCUUUGAGGAAGAACCACCCUGUGUCCCUUGGACUCACAGCACCAAGGGACACCGAGCACCGAGGGACUCGGGAUGACGUGGGGAUCGGUGACUGUAUACAGCUAUGGACGCAGACAGAUGGAUUUGUGGCUCAGGGUCAUCACGCAUGGAGACACGCUUACCCCAGCCUGAAGACAUGACCUGCCUUCUCGGGGAUAGUUGUCGGCCAUUCUCUUCCGAGUCACACAGGAAGAAGGUGAUCUCAUCUUUAUUGCCACUCUUCCCCGACCCCGACCUGAAAGCAGGAUUAGCCCUGAUGUCCAUAAGGUGGCAGAGGCCCUUGGCUCUGUCUGGGAGGCAUUGCUGGCUGUCAUGUGUUGUGCUAACCUUGGGAGUGACCUUGAUUGGGGAGGCAGGGAACAAGCAAGAAAUUAGUAUGUUGGAGAGCUGGCCAGUUUCCCGGUUAAGGAGGGCUGGCUCAGGGUCCACCCCCAAGAUGAACUUGGAGCUCUUUGAGAGCAAGACCUAUGUCUGAAGCAUCUCUGUAUUCAUAGUGCCUCAAUUAACACCUGGCACGUAGCAGGUGUUCAUCCAACACUGGGCGCUCCUGUAGUUGCCAGCAACCAGAGUUACCAGCAAGGAGGUAACAGGAAAACAGAUGUUAACGACUGUACUGAAAGGCCCCACCUGUGCUGACCACCACAAAGGCAUCAUCCUUUGCUAUAGAGCAGAGUUCUGGGUCCCAAGCACAAAAUCCAGGAACAUCUCUUGUCUUUUGUUAACUGCAAAAUCUCUAUCUCCCCUACAAAAAAAAAAAAAACACAGGGACAGACUCUGUGUAUAUAUCCAUGGAUUUAUAUAGCCAUGGCGUGCUCUUCUAAAUGUCUUUAAAAUCUAUUAAGUUAGAAAUGUUGGAGGUGGUGAUGAUAAGAGCUAGUCCCUAGAUGUGGCAUUGCCCAUCAGAACUGCGUUUCCUAGAAAGCCAAGGCUGCUUCUGAACAGCUGAACCUUGAACCCAGUAAAGCCUUGAACCCGGUGAAAGGAUGAGUAGAUCGUGGAGCGUUAAGGAGAAAAAGGGAGGGUCCUUGCCAGCCGCCUCUUUGCCUGCUUACCAGAGGCUCGCAAGCUCACAUGGCGGUCUCUGGGCAGGAGGACAGCUGGUCACUGGGUUUCUGUGCUCCUGUCCUGGGAGUUUAGAGCUGGAACGUCACUUACAGUGGAUCUUCAGAUACCCUCUCAGAUCACUCCUCGAAGGGCUUAUCCCAGGAACAAAUCAAAUAGGAAGUGAUAGAAACAGGCAGAGGAGUUUGAAAUGGCUAAACCAGGGAAGGCUGUUGGGGGAGAGGGGAUUGGAGGGACAGGGACUGUAAGCUCAGCGAGGUUAGAGACUCUUUAACUCCUGGGGGGCUGGGUGAAGGCUGUUCCAAAGGCCUCUAGGAAAUCGUUCAAGAAACUAGAAGGAAAGCUGUCAAGUGCUUCAUGGGGUGCAAAGUCACCCCCCCAGCCCCACUCACCACCGUGGGGGGCCCCAGUGGAGCUCCCCAUCAGAACCGCCACGCCACGCCAGCUCUUUCAAUGGGCGCCGUCCAGUGGGCUCUCCCCUGGGGCUUGGCCCCACCUGAGCGUGUGAUAGGCUCUGAUGACAACAGUCACUCACAUGCAUUUAGUGCCUCACACACAGGGUCUCAUUUAAUCCUCCCAACAACGCUUGAAAUGGAAUGUUUCUAUCCUCACGUUAAAAAUGAAGAAACUAAGACCUGGAGAGGUGCAAUAACUUUCCCAAGGUCAUGCAACUAAGAAGUAGAGGAGCGAGGCUUAGAAUCCAGUCUUGCACGAAUGUUCUCAUUUUCGCGUUGUGGGAUUUUUCAUUCCCUUUGCUGGAAUCACCAGUCUGUUUUCUGUCCCUGUUACGUGGUCCUGCUUCUCCCGUCUCUUCUGUGGCCUGCCAAAGCCACAAAAUGGUUUCUAAGUUCCAAGUCCAGUGGGUACCAGAUGCUGCCAGGCCCUAUUAAAGCCAUGUUCAUGAGAGAGCCCGGCUUCCUACUAGCAGUCCCUGGAAUCUCUCCUGUGGGAAUUCGGGGGAUAUUCCGAGUCAGGGCAGACUUAAGAAACUGAUUAUGCUGUUCAUUCUGUAAGUCAAGUAACAGGCCCUCAGAGUGAGUGACCUGAACAGCUGGAGCCAGCUGGGCAGGUUCAGCUGCAGCCACAGGUCAAGGGCCUUGGUUCAUCUGCCAGCCGGAUUCCUCUCUUCUCCACUUGGCAUCCACUGAAAAGGGACUGAAAUGUGCAAAAUGGCCUUUUCCCUCCUGUGUCCACCUGGCGUCUCUCUAGUAGACUGGCCUAAUUUCCUCAUCUUGUUGCCCUGGGCUCCAGGAGCCACCUCCCACACCCUCUGUCCUGCCCCACUCCCAUACCCAUCUCCUUCAGUCCAGCUGGCUGUGUUGUAUCACAUGACUCUGCCUCUGUCCUCCUCACACCACACACACACACACACACACUCACACACUCAGGCAGGUCAAUGAGCCAGGAUCUGUGUACACUGGUCAACAACUUGUGAAGUCCCCUGACUCAGGGAAUGUUUGGAAAGCCAGUCAGGCCAGGCAGAUUCCUCUUUUAGGAAAUUUGAACCUCCAAAUCAGGCUGCAUGGGCAGUGUGUGACAGGAGGUCAUGAGGGCAAGUAGGGCCAGGUGCUGGCCGGAAGUACACUGAGAUGGAAGCUUGGAGAUUGAAGAAAGGCAAAACAAUACUUAUCAUUGGGGGAUUAAUGAGCCUCUUUGGGAAGAAGAUAAAGGAUGUCGAGAUUAGAGGCAGAACUCCAGGAAAGGCAGAGAGAGGAGCCAGUCCUAGAGCCUCCCCAAGGCUCGCCAGGCCUGCCUCACCCAUGUGAGGCAGCAGGCUCCUUACUUAGUCCCUCUGCUGUCUGUUGGCUCAGAAUUGGGCAUGUGACAGUUCUGCCAACAUAACUUAUGGGGAAAUGGCUGGGGGACCUUCUGGGAAGAUUUUGUUUUCUGAUAAAAGGAGAAUGAAGAGGCCCAUCUCUUCCUCCUGCUUUGAACAGGGAUGUUUGAGAUGUGAUAUUUGGAGCUGUGGCAGCCAUUUUGAGACCAGGUGGCAACGAAACUAAGGGAGAAAGCCAACAUAGCAAGGUUGGCCGAGUAGACAGACAAAGCCUAGGUCCUCGAUGAUACCGUUGAGCCACCAUACCUAUCCGGGAACCGCCUACUUCCAGUCUUACUGAUCUUUAAAUUGAACCGUCUUUAUUUUCUAAGCACAUUUCUGCUAUUUUCAGCCUAAAAGGCAUUCUUAGCCAGUCAAUACAACACUCCUCCGAACUUCCCAGUCAUCAACUCCUUAGAGCCCCCACGGCUCUUGGUACAGCUCCAAAUGGAAAAUCAGCCCAAUUUAGACACUGGAAACCUUAAUUGUAUGGUAGGAAAUACAGGUCAAGAUUGGUCAUAGCCCACACAGGCAAGCAGCUUGUACACUUAGUUCCGAUUCCUGGAGCCUACCGGGCACUGAUGAGGAAAGAAAGAUUCAGGACAGUUCCAGAUGCAUGAGCCUGGGUCUUCUAAAUUGGGGCUCCAUGAGGAACUUUAGAACAAAUCAGCGUGGAAUCGGUGGGGGGGGUGGGGGUGGGGUGGGGAGGUGAGUGUUAGUCCCUGGAGGCAGAGCCUGAGCAUGGACCAGAAGGCCAUGGCAGAAGGAGAAGCAAGUUGGAAUUGGCAAAUGGUGAGUUAGGUUGGGUGAAUUCUGGAGGAGGCCGGUGUCACACAGCAGGGUUUUAUGAGCCCCAUAUACUAGGUGAAGGAAAUGUAUGGCAGCUAGAGCUUAACUGAUGGAAAACUAGGCUUUGUAGUUAACUCUCCAGCCAGCCUAAGUGACAUUUCAUAUCCUUUGGGGAACACGGUGCCCUGACUUGAGGCCACUUCCCGCUUUCUCCAUGCCUUGUCCCUUUGCCACCUGGCCCUUCUUUCUUUAGCUUUCCUUCCCAUCUUCUCUGAGCAAAGCCAGGAGACAGAAACGCACAGGACCUGAAUUGCUUCUUCCUCAAUUGGGGAAUGGAUAUAGUGGCAAGCAAGGAUGUCUCCUAGAAGACUUAGAAUCCCAGGCGAGGGAUAAGGAGUUUGGUUGGGAGGUGAAAACGCAGUCGGUGGAUAAGGACUAGAUGAAGCUUUCUUCUGAUCCAAUUUUCAUCACAUAACGUGGUUUUUGUGUUGCUUCAACACAAGAAAAUGUGCCUGACCCUUGCUUCAUGAAAAGAAGAAUUGAACUUAGGAACUCUAGCCCUUCCUCUUUAAAUGUCUAGUUUUAAAUAUAAAGUGAAACCGGUAUCCUCCUCAUGUAGCUGUCAGAUGCAUUCAGAACUGGAGAAAAAUUGCCCUGCCCUUUCCCAACUCAAAAUAGUCUUCGGCAGUAAAGAGAGGUGGCCCAUAGAAGUUCCUCAAGCUAAUGGGGGCCGAACACCAAUGUGUUGCAAUUAGGGUAGAAUUUGCAACCUCCAGAUCCUGCCAGUAAGCCUCGCCCCCUCAACACAGUCCUUUCACACCCUCCACAAUUUAUGGAGUCCUGCCCUUGAAGGUUCAGACUAGGCUGACUCGGUUUGCCUGUUGUAUUACUUCAUUCAUUCAGCAAAGUUGGACUGAAUACCUACCAGGAAUAGAAGUUAAGCUUAUAAAAGCAAGUUUGUAAGCUUAUCUUCCUAAGUCAUUAUAUAUAUAUAUAUAAUAUAUAUAUAUAUAUAUAAUUUAUA
Long non-coding RNA from Bos taurus (domestic cattle), 5462 nucleotides. The record is from Ensembl. NCBI's taxonomy places the organism in Eukaryota, Metazoa, Chordata, Mammalia, Artiodactyla, Bovidae.